This 405-nucleotide ribosomal RNA is filed under the name uncultured Clostridia bacterium. RNAcentral describes it as "partial 16S ribosomal RNA". It matches the Rfam family "Bacterial small subunit ribosomal RNA", at positions 355 to 774 of the family's 1533-position model. Lineage: Bacteria; Bacillati; Bacillota; Clostridia. The record is from RNAcentral.
UGGGGAAUAUUGGGCAAUGGGGGAAACCCUGACCCAGCGACGCCGCGUGAGGGAAGAAGGUCUUCGGAUUGUAAACCUCUGUAAGCAGGGAAGAAGAAAGUGACGGUACCUGCAAAGUAAGCCACGGCUAACUACGUGCCAGCAGCCGCGGUAAUACGUAGGUGGCGAGCGUUAUCCGGAAUUACUGGGUGUAAAGGGUGUGUAGGCGGGAAUGUAAGUCAGAUGUGAAAUACCUAAGCUUAACUUAGGCACUGCAUUUGAAACUAUAUUUCUUGAGAGUGGGAGAGGUAAGCGGAAUUCCUGGUGUAGCGGUGAAAUGCGUAGAUAUCAGGAGGAACACCGGUGGCGAAGGCGGCUUACUGGACCACAACUGACGCUGAGACACGAAAGCGUGGGGAGCAAACA